AAUGAAAUGCCUGAGAAAAGGAUUAUUUUGAUAGAAUAAAUUAUGUAAAUAUGUUUACUUUCAUUU
Molecule: transfer RNA, 66 nt
Filed under: Endelus continentalis
Lineage: Eukaryota; Metazoa; Arthropoda; Insecta; Coleoptera; Buprestidae
Description: tRNA-Ile
Source: RNAcentral